Molecule: transfer RNA, 89 nt
Organism: Aspergillus terreus NIH2624
Lineage: Eukaryota; Fungi; Ascomycota; Eurotiomycetes; Eurotiales; Aspergillaceae
Rfam family: tRNA
About the family: Transfer RNA (tRNA) molecules are approximately 80 nucleotides in length. Their secondary structure includes four short double-helical elements and three loops (D, anti-codon, and T loops).
Source: Rfam
GAUCGACUGGCCUAGUGGUUAUGGCGUCUGUCUUACAUUCUUCAAUGUAAACACACAGAAGGUCGCAGGUUCGACCCCUGCGUCGAUCA